Molecule: ribosomal RNA, 653 nt
Filed under: Burkholderia cenocepacia
Lineage: Bacteria; Pseudomonadati; Pseudomonadota; Betaproteobacteria; Burkholderiales; Burkholderiaceae
Description: bacterial LSU rRNA
Rfam family: Bacterial large subunit ribosomal RNA
Source: RNAcentral
CUCCUCCCAAAGCGUAACGGAGGAGUACGAAGGUACGCUAGGUACGGUCGGAAAUCGUGCUGAUAGUGCAAUGGCAUAAGCGUGCUUAACUGCGAGACCGACAAGUCGAGCAGGUGCGAAAGCAGGUCAUAGUGAUCCGGUGGUUCUGUAUGGAAGGGCCAUCGCUCAACGGAUAAAAGGUACUCUGGGGAUAACAGGCUGAUACCGCCCAAGAGUUCAUAUCGACGGCGGUGUUUGGCACCUCGAUGUCGGCUCAUCUCAUCCUGGGGCUGUAGCCGGUCCCAAGGGUAUGGCUGUUCGCCAUUUAAAGAGGUACGUGAGCUGGGUUUAAAACGUCGUGAGACAGUUUGGUCCCUAUCUGCCGUGGGCGUUGGAUAUUUGAAGGGGGCUGCUCCUAGUACGAGAGGACCGGAGUGGACGAACCUCUGGUGUACCGGUUGUCACGCCAGUGGCAUCGCCGGGUAGCUAUGUUCGGAAGAGAUAACCGCUGAAAGCAUCUAAGCGGGAAACUCGCCUUAAGAUGAGAUAUCCCUGGAGGCUAGACCUCCUUGAAGGGUCGUUCGAGACCAGGACGUUGAUAGGUCAGGUGUGUAAGCGCAGUAAUGCGUUCAGCUAACUGAUACUAAUUGCCCGUAAGGCUUGAUCCUAUAACA